GUACACACCGCCCGUCGCMCCUACCGAUUGGAUGAUUCGGUGAAACUUUCGGACCGUGUGCAGGACGCUCUCGGGCGACUUGUGCGUGGGAAGUUAUUUAAACCUCAUCAUCUAGAGGAAGGUGAAGUCGUAACAAGGUUUCCGUAGGUGAACCUGCAGAAGGAUCA
Molecule: ribosomal RNA, 167 nt
Filed under: uncultured eukaryote
Lineage: Eukaryota
Description: partial small subunit ribosomal RNA
Source: RNAcentral